This 145-nucleotide unclassified non-coding RNA is filed under the name soil metagenome. Its description in RNAcentral is "partial internal transcribed spacer 1". The record is from RNAcentral.
UAAUAAGUGUUUUAUGGCACUUUUUAAAUCCAUAUCCACCUUGUGUGCAAUGUCAGUCGACCUUCUUCAUGGAGAUCGACCAAACAUCAACCUUUAUCUUUUAACUCUUUGUCUGAAAAAUAUUACGAAUAAACAAUUCAAAAUA